RNAcentral lists this ribosomal RNA (274 nucleotides) under uncultured bacterium. RNAcentral describes it as "partial 16S ribosomal RNA". It matches the Rfam family "Bacterial small subunit ribosomal RNA", at positions 523 to 796 of the family's 1533-position model. The record is from RNAcentral.
AUACGGAGGAUCCAAGCGUUAUCCGGAAUCAUUGGGUUUAAAGGGUCCGUAGGCGGGUUUGUAAGUCAGUGGUGAAAGUUUUCGGCUCAACCGGAAAAUCGCCAUUGAUACUGCAAGUCUUGAAUCAUUAUGAAGUGGUUAGAAUGUGUAGUGUAGCGGUGAAAUGCAUAGAUAUUACACAGAAUACCGAUUGCGAAGGCAGAUCACUAAUAAUGUAUUGACGCUAAGGGACGAAAGCGUGGGUAGCGAACAGGAUUAGAAACCCUAGUAGUCC